This 95-nucleotide ribozyme is filed under the name Aedes aegypti (yellow fever mosquito). RNAcentral's name for it is "drz-agam-1 ribozyme". It matches the Rfam family "drz-agam-1 ribozyme". The record is from Rfam by way of RNAcentral. Lineage: Eukaryota; Metazoa; Arthropoda; Insecta; Diptera; Culicidae.
UGCCCAGCAACUCCUAUCCUUACCUCCUCGUGGUACUGGCCGGGAUCGGGUAACCAACCCUGGUGGGAACUUUGGUCGUAUGCUGACAGGGAAGG